UGCGUAGGUGGCAAGCGUUGUCCGGAUUUACUGGGCGUAAAGAGCGCGCAGGCGGUCGUUCAAGUCGCGUGUGAAAGCCCCCCGGCUCAACUGGGGAGGGUCACGCGAUACUGAUCGACUGGAAGGCAGGAGAGGGUAGUGGAAUUCCCGGUGUAGUGGUGAAAUGCGUAGAUAUCGGGAGGAACACCAGUGGCGAAGGCGACUACCUGGCCUGUUCUUGACGCUGAGGCGCGAAAGCUAGGGGAGCGAACAGG
RNAcentral lists this ribosomal RNA (254 nucleotides) under uncultured bacterium. RNAcentral's name for it is "partial 16S ribosomal RNA". It matches the Rfam family "Bacterial small subunit ribosomal RNA", at positions 524 to 776 of the family's 1533-position model. The record is from RNAcentral.